ACCCGUGGACUUCCCUUUGUCAUCCUAUGCCUGAGAAUAUAUGAAGGGGGCUGGGGAGGCAAAGGGACGUUC
This is a microRNA precursor of Camarhynchus parvulus, 72 nucleotides long. The record is from Ensembl. Lineage: Eukaryota; Metazoa; Chordata; Aves; Passeriformes; Thraupidae.